This 425-nucleotide ribosomal RNA is filed under the name uncultured bacterium. RNAcentral describes it as "partial 16S ribosomal RNA". It matches the Rfam family "Bacterial small subunit ribosomal RNA", at positions 354 to 796 of the family's 1533-position model. The record is from RNAcentral.
GUGGGGAAUCUUGCGCAAUGGGCGAAAGCCUGACGCAGCCAUGCCGCGUGAAUGAUGAAGGUCUUAGGAUUGUAAAAUUCUUUCACCGGGGACGAUAAUGACGGUACCCGGAGAAGAAGCCCCGGCUAACUUCGUGCCAGCAGCCGCGGUAAUACGAAGGGGGCUAGCGUUGCUCGGAAUUACUGGGCGUAAAGGGCGCGUAGGCGGACAGUUUAGUCAGAGGUGAAAGCCCAGGGCUCAACCUUGGAAUUGCCUUUGAUACUGGCUGUCUUGAGUACGGGAGAGGUGAGUGGAACUCCGAGUGUAGAGGUGAAAUUCGUAGAUAUUCGGAAGAACACCAGUGGCGAAGGCGACUCACUGGCCCGUUACUGACGCUGAGGCGCGAAAGCGUGGGGAGCGAACAGGAUUAGAAACCCGGGUAGUCC